This 21-nucleotide non-coding RNA is filed under the name Caenorhabditis elegans. Lineage: Eukaryota; Metazoa; Nematoda; Chromadorea; Rhabditida; Rhabditidae. The record is from RNAcentral.
UUCUGAUCCGAAUUUCAAGUC